This 440-nucleotide ribosomal RNA is filed under the name uncultured bacterium. RNAcentral describes it as "partial 16S ribosomal RNA". It matches the Rfam family "Bacterial small subunit ribosomal RNA", at positions 338 to 795 of the family's 1533-position model. The record is from RNAcentral.
CCUACGGGAGGCAGCAGUAGGGAAUAUUGCUCAAUGGGCGAAACCCUGAAGCAGCCACGCCGCGUGGAGGAUGAAGGUUCUCGGAUUGUAAACUCCUUUUGUUAGAGAAGAUAAUGACGGUAUCUAACGAAUAAGCACCGUCUAACUCCGUGCCAGCAGCCGCGGUAAUACGGAGGGUGCAAGCGUUACUCGGAAUCACUGGGCGUAAAGAGCGCGUAGGCGGGAUAGCAAGUCAGAUGUGAAAUCCUAUGGCUUAACCAUAGAACUGCAUUUGAAACUGUUAUUCUAGAGUAUGGGAGAGGUAGGUGGAAUGCUUGGUGUAGGGGUAAAAUGCGUAGAGAUCAAGAGGAAUACUGAUUGCGAAGGCGACCUGCUAGAACAUAACUGACGCUGAUGCGCGAAAGCGUGGGGAGCAAACAGGAUUAGAUACCCCAGUAGUC